AUACGGAGGGUGCAAGCGUUACUCGGAAUCACUGGGCGUAAAGCGCGCGCAGGCGGCCAUUUAAGUUGGAUGUGAAAGCCUACGGCUCAACCGUAGAACUGCAUCCAAAACUAUUUGGCUAGAGUGUGGGAGAGGAAGAUGGAAUUAGUUGUGUAGGGGUAAAAUCCGUAGAGAUAACUAGGAAUACCAAAAGCGAAGGCAAUCUUCUGGAACACUACUGACGCUGAGGCGCGAAAGUGUGGGGAGCAAACGGGAUUAGAAACCCGAGUAGUCC
RNAcentral lists this ribosomal RNA (274 nucleotides) under uncultured bacterium. RNAcentral's name for it is "partial 16S ribosomal RNA". It matches the Rfam family "Bacterial small subunit ribosomal RNA", at positions 523 to 796 of the family's 1533-position model. The record is from RNAcentral.